Molecule: ribosomal RNA, 451 nt
Filed under: uncultured bacterium
Lineage: Bacteria
Description: partial 16S ribosomal RNA
Rfam family: Bacterial small subunit ribosomal RNA
Source: RNAcentral
GUGGGGAAUAUUGGACAAUGGGCGAAAGCCUGAUCCAGCCAUGCCGCGUGUGUGAAGAAGGCCUUUUGGUUGUAAAGCACUUUAAGCGAGGAGGAGGCUACCGAGAUUAAUACUCUUGGAUAGUGGACGUUACUCGCAGAAUAAGCACCGGCUAACUCUGUGCCAGCAGCCGCGGUAAUACAGAGGGUGCGAGCGUUAAUCGGAUUUACUGGGCGUAAAGCGUGCGUAGGCGGCUUUUUAAGUCGGAUGUGAAAUCCCUGAGCUUAACUUAGGAAUUGCAUUCGAUACUGGGAAGCUAGAGUAUGGGAGAGGAUGGUAGAAUUCCAGGUGUAGCGGUGAAAUGCGUAGAGAUCUGGAGGAAUACCGAUGGCGAAGGCAGCCAUCUGGCCUAAUACUGACGCUGAGGUACGAAAGCAUGGGGAGCAAACAGGAUUAGAAACCCGAGUAGUCC